GCGCUUUGUGUCCAGCUAGGGGACACACCGAGCCGACGAGACGGGAUCUCUGAGGAGACCCCGUUCCGCCAGAAGGAAGCACCAUAGCAACCUUCCCGGCCACGAAAGGACAUGUGUGAACAAGGAACCCAUAAAAUGAAGGGUGCAACAGGUUCGAACAUCCCAGUAUUGCAGAAAGAAUAGUUGCACAUCAAGGUAGGAGAAAGAUAAUCAAGUUUCUGGAUUUACAAGGGAAGGACAUAUUCUGUGCUGGUGUAAAUUAGGAGUUCCACUGAAAUAGAUGACUGGUUGGUACUGCAGAAACUGAGUGUUAUUUUCAUGCUGCUAUGAUCCAAAACAGUGGCUCCUUCUUCUGCAUAGUGAGCAUUGAGGAAAGCCUGGGCAAUGACGCUCAGAGAGCAGAAGCAGUGCUGUAGGAGAGAGCAUCAAGAGAAGCUUUUACCAGCUGGUAAAACCUGCCAAACAAGCUUGUAAAAUUGAGGAUCAGAGUAUUGGUUUUGCUCAGGAAAGACAUUGUGACUUCAUUGCCUCUAUGGCACUAUUGUCAGGAACAAUUUUAUUUUUUUGAAAUUACUGCAUUUGAGGUCUAAGUUUUCUCAUCAAGAAUAAACUUGGUAUUUGGUCAUUUCACUCUGUGGUUGUUAUCUGUCAAAACAAAUCCUAUAAGGAGCCUAAGUCAAAAACUACUCAUGUCAGGAGAAUGGGUUUUGGUGAUGACUUUCCAAGCUGACUGGGUUUUGGAGUUAUAAAUAGUUACAAAAUUGUGUCACUGCCUUCUCAGAAACUCAAUGUGUUUAAAGAUGUGUACGGUCAGCAGAAUAGGGAUUGGGUUUACAUCUAAGACCUUCACCUUUUAAGGACUUGGGUUUAAAAUGGAUGGGAUCACUUACUUGUUUAAAGGCAGUUUCAUUUUUAUAUAAUAAUUUAUGCUUAUCACCACGUAAGUGAAUUCUUAAUCAUUCUUGUGGAUCCAACAUAUUAUUUUUCAUAGCAAUAUAUUAUGGAGGCCUUUCAGCAAAACUUGCCUUGAUUUGUGGCAUGUAAGACUGAUACAAUGAGUGAUAAAUGUAUUAACUGAUAAUCCCCAGUUAAAAUACUAUAUGAAAUAAAUAGAAAUGAAAGUA
Molecule: long non-coding RNA, 1124 nt
Organism: Passer domesticus (house sparrow)
Lineage: Eukaryota; Metazoa; Chordata; Aves; Passeriformes; Passeridae
Exons: 2
Source: RefSeq, a predicted model, not a curated record